UACGUAGGGGGCCAGCGUUGUCCGGAAUCAUUGGGCGUAAAGCGCGCGUAGGCGGCCAGAUAAGUCCGGUGUGAAAGUCACAGGCUCAACCUGUGAAUGCCGCUGGAAACUAUCUGGCUAGAGUCCGGAAGGGGCGAGUGGAAUUCCUGGUGUAGCGGUGAAAUGCGCAGAUAUCAGGAGGAACACCGAUGGCGAAGGCAGCUCGCUGGGACGGUACUGACGCUGAGGAGCGAAAGCGUGGGGAGCGAACAGG
This 253-nucleotide ribosomal RNA is filed under the name uncultured bacterium. Its description in RNAcentral is "partial 16S ribosomal RNA". It matches the Rfam family "Bacterial small subunit ribosomal RNA", at positions 524 to 776 of the family's 1533-position model. The record is from RNAcentral.